UACAGAGGGUGCAAGCGUUAAUCGGAAUUACUGGGCGUAAAGCGUGUGUAGGUGGUUUGCUAAGUCAGGUGUGAAAUCCCUGGGCUCAACCCAGGAACUGCAUUUGAUACUGGCAGACUAGAGUGUGGUAGAGGAUGGUGGAAUUCCCGGUGUAGCGGUGAAAUGCGUAGAUAUCGGGAGGAACAUCAGUGGCGAAGGCGGCCAUCUGGACUAACACUGACACUGAGACACGAAAGCGUGGAGAGCAAACAGG
RNAcentral lists this ribosomal RNA (253 nucleotides) under uncultured bacterium. RNAcentral's name for it is "partial 16S ribosomal RNA". It matches the Rfam family "Bacterial small subunit ribosomal RNA", at positions 524 to 776 of the family's 1533-position model. The record is from RNAcentral.